Molecule: ribosomal RNA, 695 nt
Filed under: uncultured bacterium
Lineage: Bacteria
Description: bacterial SSU rRNA
Rfam family: Bacterial small subunit ribosomal RNA
Source: RNAcentral
UAACGCGUGGGUAACCUGCCUUAUACGGGGGGAUAACAGUCAGAAAUGGCUGCUAAUACCGCAUAAGCGCACAGAGCUGCAUGGCUCAGUGUGAAAAACUCCGGUGGUAUAAGAUGGACCCGCGUUGGAUUAGCUUGUUGGUGGGGUAACGGCCCACCAAGGCGACGAUCCAUAGCCGGCCUGAGAGGGUGAACGGCCACAUUGGGACUGAGACACGGCCCAGACUCCUACGGGAGGCAGCAGUGGGGAAUAUUGCACAAUGGGGGAAACCCUGAUGCAGCGACGCCGCGUGAAGGAAGAAGUAUCUCGGUAUGUAAACUUCUAUCANCAGGGAAGAUAGUGACGGUACCUGACUAAGAAGCCCCGGCUAACUACGUGCCAGCAGCCGCGGUAAUACGUAGGGGGCAAGCGUUAUCCGGAUUUACUGGGUGUAAAGGGAGCGUAGGCGGUGUGGCAAGUCUGAUGUGAAAGGCAUGGGCUCAACCUGUGGACUGCAUUGGAAACUGUCAUACUUGAGUGCCGGAGGGGUAAGCGGAAUUCCUAGUGUAGCGGUGAAAUGCGUAGAUAUUAGGAGGAACACCAGUGGCGAAGGCGGCUUACUGGACGGUANCUGACGUUGAGGCUCGAAAGCGUGGGGAGCAAACAGGAUUAGAUACCCUGNUAGUNCCACGCCGUAAACGAUGAAUACUAGGUGU